AUUGAACGCUGGCGGCAGGCCUAACACAUGCAAGUCGAGCGGUAGCACAGGGAGCUUGCUCCUGGGUGACGAGCGGCGGACGGGUGAGUAAUGUCUGGGAAACUGCCUGAUGGAGGGGGAUAACUACUGGAAACGGUAGCUAAUACCGCAUAACGUCGCAAGACCAAAGAGGGGGACCUUCGGGCCUCUUGCCAUCAGAUGUGCCCAGAUGGGAUUAGCUAGUAGGUGGGGUAACGGCUCACCUAGGCGACGAUCCCUAGCUGGUCUGAGAGGAGGACCAGCCACACUGGAACUGAGACACGGUCCAGACUCCUACGGGAGGCAGCAGUGGGGAAUAUUGCACAAUGGGCGCAAGCCUGAUGCAGCCAUGCCGCGUGUAUGAAGAAGGCCUUCGGGUUGUAAAGUAUUUUCAGCGGGGAGGAAGGCGAUAAGGUUAAUAACCUUGUCGAUUGACGUUACCCGCAGAAGAAGCACCGGCUAACUCCGUGCCAGCCGCCGCAGUAA
Molecule: ribosomal RNA, 504 nt
Filed under: uncultured bacterium
Lineage: Bacteria
Description: partial 16S ribosomal RNA
Rfam family: Bacterial small subunit ribosomal RNA
Source: RNAcentral